This 253-nucleotide ribosomal RNA is filed under the name uncultured bacterium. Its description in RNAcentral is "partial 16S ribosomal RNA". It matches the Rfam family "Bacterial small subunit ribosomal RNA", at positions 524 to 776 of the family's 1533-position model. The record is from RNAcentral.
UACGGAGGUGGCAAGCGUUGUUCGGAAUUACUGGGCGUAAAGGGCGCGUAGGCGGCCCGUCAAGUCCCGUGUGAAAGCCCCCGGCUCAACCGGGGAACUGCACGGGAAACUAGCAGGCUUGAGUUCGGGAGAGGGAAGCGGAAUUUCGGGUGUAGCGGUGAAAUGCGCAGAUAUCCGAAGGAACACCGGUGGCGAAGGCGGCUUCCUGGACCGACACUGACGCUGAGGCGCGAAAGCGUGGGGAGCAAACAGG